Molecule: long non-coding RNA, 4424 nt
Organism: Nicotiana attenuata
Lineage: Eukaryota; Viridiplantae; Streptophyta; Magnoliopsida; Solanales; Solanaceae
Exons: 19
Source: RefSeq, a predicted model, not a curated record
GGUUUUAUUAGAUUUCUGUACAUCACAAUUUACAGAGCUUCAGAUAUCUUCGUCUUCCUCGUCUCUUCAACUUGUGCAGGAAAAACCAACAGAAUUCAUACUUUGGGAAGUUUUUAUUGAUCAUGAUGGGAACGAACUACUGGAAUAGCAUAACGAAUACCCAGUCAUUCUUGCUUGAAAAAUUAGCAAACCGAAGUCAUCCUCAGGCAGGAUUGACGAAUAGUUCAGUACGACAAUUGAAAUUAAUCCUCCAUACCCGCCGGCUACUACUCUAAGGACAUGGUAUUGUAGAUGUGCUUCUUUGGCCAAACAAAAUCGAGAGCUAAUGCUUAUUGCAUACACGGCAAGUGAAACAGCCUCAACAUGCUCUCUUCUGUUUGUUCCUUUUGAGGAAAAGGUCAUACCAAUUGCUAAUAUCCAACAGCAACCUCUGGAAAGCUUUUUAAUUCCUUACAAGGUCUUAUGUUUCUGGAGGCCUUUUGAGACUGAGGGCUUGUGGCUUGAUUAGACCAAUUAAUGGCAUGCACGAAGAAAAAGCAGUACAGCAACAAUUCACCACAAUCAAAGCGUAGCACCGAGAAAGGGCAAAAACCAGGUUUCAAGAGAUUUCAAAAAUCAUAUUUCAGGUGGUGGGACCAACUGUUUCAACGAGGAAGUACCAGGGGGCAAAUUCUUAGAGGCAGACUAAGGUUCUAAAGUGGAUUGAAGCUCACAUUAGAGAAUAUUAUGGCUAAAGAUGGACCAAGAUGUAUAAAGACAAAUUAUGUUUGAGGAAGCAAGUUAAGUUUUGAAUGAUGUUGUUGGGAGCAUAAGAAUUGUUGCGUCAUUUUGUGCGAAAGAGAAGGUCAUGGAAAUGUGUAGAUAACAGAGCCAAGAGCCAAGGCCUACUGAAUGCAAGAAAAACUUGACAAGUUUUUUUCCCUCUGAUGAUGGCAACUAUAUUUAUGUCCCAGUCAAGCUCAUUGGCACCAAGUAUAGCCAAGGGUGGCUGUGCUUCAAUAUGUGCUAUUCCGAACAAGAAAUCGGAAUAUUCAAGUGAUGAUUCUGGUAUUACACAGGACACUCUGAAAGGGAGAUUUUGAGCUAUAAUAUGCAGCCUUCAGGAAGCAUCAAGGCAGCUCAAGUACAAGAAUUGAAAGAGAAUCUGGAUAGCCAUCAUUUACUAGUGUUUUGUGGAGCUUAAGGAAAGAGAGAGAUCUACACAUGUCCGAAGCCACAGUUGAUGUUAUUAAAUUAGACUAUUCUAUUUUAGUUCAAAAUCAUAUGAACAUCAUUUAUCUUUGACGAUUUAUAUGAUGUUGUAUUGUGAUUUUGUCUUCAUCUAAUUUGAUGAAAUUUUUAUUCUCUGCGAAUCCAAAACCAAAAGAAAUUGAUAAUAAUAGUUUUAACUUUCAAAAUAUUGGGCCCGUGCUGGCACGGGCUAUCCUUACCUAGUCUAUUAUAUAGAAGAGGAGUUUCGACGUGUGUUUCAUGUCUUUUUUAUAAAGCUCGAGGGUAAUUUAGUCAUUCGCAUAAGCUCCUACAAAUUUCCUGUACGUGGCUAGGUUUGUGUACGCAAAACUAUACGUGUAAUUUUUAUAUAAUUCCACCUGUAUUUUAAGAAGAUUGUCACGUUAGGUUUUUCAUUAAUUUCUUUCAGAUUACUUCUCAGUUUACAGUCUUCCAUGUUCCUUUUCUCGCUCAAAUUGCAGGUAUGUUUCACUUUCAAUCAAUUUUUCCCAUAUUUUUUUCUCCUUUUUCCUAUGUUCUUUUCACUCAGGGUUUUUCUCCAUCUGCUAUGAAUUGUGUUGAUUUUCUCUGCACUCUGUUGGUAUGUUGGCAGAUAUGUGUUGGUUUCCUUCAAACAAGAAUUUGAUAAAGCACAAAUAGUCUAUGUAUUGCUUCCUAUUUUCUUGAUUUCUCAGUUGCUUGUCCCUUAUUAAUUUUUUUGUUUCUAUUAUGUUGCGCCUUUUUCCAAUUUUUGAGUUGCGCCUCCCUAUUUCUGAUGUUUUUGUUGUUUUGUUUAUUUCAUCAGAAAUAGUUUUAUUCUCAUUCUUUCGCUCAAGUGCUUUGUUAUUUUUUUUUUCAGUUUUCAUCUGGUACUUAAUUCUUCUUUUUUAGUUGCAGUUAUCUGAUAGUGUUGGUGAUUUAUUAUCUUCCGGUCCUUCUUGACUAUCCGAACCAAGUAAAUGUUCAGAGUGAUUCGGUGUAAGCAGGGUUGGAGUUUUCAGACCGCUGAUUGGCAAUUUUGAGUGCAUGAGUUCAGACUGUAUAUAUCUAUUAUUGAGAGAUCUUCCCUUCCACACCAGAUUAAGAGGUGAAACAUACCCAACAUGGUGCUAAUAUGAAUACAAUGAUCAGGAUCUGUAUGUCUUAGUUUAGAAGCUACCUCACUCAUAAAGUAAUAUGAGAGUAAUAUGAUGGUUAAUAUAAGAUAGUAGCACAACAGUUGAAACUUGCUGAUAGGUCAUAUCUGUGCUCUUGGUGUUCUGUUAGGUUCUUUUACUUCUGAAAUGAUGACAAUUUCCAGCACGGACCAUAACCAUCUAUAUAUUAGAAGAGCCAGAGUUUCGACCUGGCUACUUCAUGGCAACAAAAGUAAAGUUAAGGAUAUUUUAGUCAUUUUAGUGUAAACUCUAUGUGGCUUUUUUUACUGAACCCACAUCAUACACUUAUCCUUAUUUCGCUAUUCUUCUUCAUAGAUAGCUUUCUUCUCUCUCGAUCUUCCUCGGUGAUGCCUCUGAUUUUCAAUGAAUUUUACUGAUAAUACAGAACUAGAGUUAAUUAUGGAAAGAGCAUUAUGUAGCGAAUAAGGUGAAGAAGGGGUCGAGAUUGGUACGCUCAAUGGACAUGUCUCUCUUGAUAAUUUGAAGACUUUGUUAUUGUAGAAUAAAGGUAUGUAUAUGUACUGCUAAUAGAUUUUCAGUGUUGUAUAUUUCCAUAUAGUUGGUAUUUGUGUUGAAGCUAACGACCACUUUCGUUUCUCUAUUUUCAUGACUCGAAUCUGAUUUCUUAAAUAAAAAAUUCUUUGUCGCCAAGGUGUAUGACAAAAUUCUUCAAUGAAUUGGACUGUGUCUUUGGUUUCUUAUGCAUCCUCCGAAGGUAACAGAGAAAAUAGAAAAUUAUGAAUGCAUGUACUAUCAUAUUCUCAACAGGGGAGAGCCGAAUGUUUGACACGGUUAGCAUCUGUAAUUCUUUACACCUUUUUCCUUUCUCCUUUUUCACCACACAGCAUGAGAUUAAAAUUAUAGAGAAAAACUUUGACGAGUUUCUGUUGUAACUGUGGAUUUUCUGUAUUUCAUAUUUUUUUUACGAAUGAAAUAAACUGAUAUUACCCAAAUCUGUUGUGGGACUUGAAAAUUUAAAUGCGGUAUAGAGAAUUUCAGAUUCUUGGAAGUAUAUUCUUGGUUCUCUUUCUUCUCAUAGAAGCUCCUUAUCGCUAGCUAUAUGUAAUUGUGUCUCAUUUGCUAAAUUUUCAUGAAUUUCCAACACAAUCACUCGGGAAAGUAAUAGGCUCAAGUUUGCUUAUAGGUAUCUGUAUUUGUAUGGUCCCUUUGGAUGGAACAUUACCAAAAAAUUACAAGUUAGUUGACUGAUGUAUGGAGCUUCUGUAAGGUGAUUUCUUUGAAAAGAUUCAAAGUAUGGAUUGCUUUAUUUAGAUGGAAUUUGUAUUAAUAUUUCACUACAUGAGACAGUAACAUUUAAACCUUAAGAAUUUUGCUCCAAUUUCUGCAAUUUGUGAUUGUAACUACUUGGACUUGUCUCAUUUUUGUUCAAAAAAAGGGACAAUUCACUGCAUUCAAGUUAUUUUUGCUUCUUGUAUACAAGAAGUGAUUAAUUUGUGUUAUUUUCUACUUUGAUUAAUAAAUUUGGUACAUUUGUCUGAUCUUUUCAUUCAAAGUUCAGUCCCUUUUGAAGAAGAGAUACGGGAUAGAGACCUAAGACUCCAAUGAAGACUUCAACAUCUUUCAGGAUGAAAACAUUCUUCUAUAGUCGUGAACUUAUAGGAAAACCUUGCCUUCUUCUUUAGGAAAUAGUGGUAACAGGUUAUGGUGGUUGGGGAUAUUUUGGUAGCAUUUUCAGCAUCAAUGACGUCUUUGAACAUUUGCAGCAAGAGAUGAUCUUCUUACUUUUUGGAGACACUAAAUUCUGAUAGAAUUUCCUCUUGCUCUUCAGACGAAAUCUUUUCUGCCAAAGUUGGACCCAAAAACUUGAGAUUGAGGGGAAGUCUCUACGAAGUGGAAUGUAAUGACAAUGGAGAUAGUUUGGGCAGGGGUAAUUCUUUAAUAUAUAAUGACUAUUGGCAUGGUAGUUCCUUUACAUGUAAAACUAUAUAGAUACUAUCAUCUUUACACUUAAGCAUCUAAUUAUCAUAUUGCGCAAUGGAUGUAAAGAAUGUAUUAUUCGCCAUAAUGCAACAUCAUGAUGAUUAUUUUGCUCCAAAA